RNAcentral lists this ribosomal RNA (253 nucleotides) under uncultured bacterium. RNAcentral describes it as "partial 16S ribosomal RNA". It matches the Rfam family "Bacterial small subunit ribosomal RNA", at positions 524 to 776 of the family's 1533-position model. The record is from RNAcentral.
UACGUAGGUGGCAAGCGUUAUCCGGAUUUAUUGGGCGUUAAGGGAACGCAGGCGGUCUUUUAAGUCUGAUGUGAAAGCCUUCGGCUUAACCGGAGUAGUGCAUUGGAAACUGGGAGACUUGAGUGCAGAAGAGGAGAGUGGAACUCCAUGUGUAGCGGUGAAAUGCGUAGAUAUAUGGAAGAACACCAGUGGCGAAAGCGGCUCUCUGGUCUGUAACUGACGCUGAGGUUCGAAAGCGUGGGUAGCAAACAGG